Molecule: ribosomal RNA, 571 nt
Filed under: uncultured marine eukaryote
Lineage: Eukaryota
Description: SSU rRNA
Rfam family: Eukaryotic small subunit ribosomal RNA
Source: RNAcentral
GUUAAAAAGCUCGUAGUUGGAUUUCGGUUGAGAACGGCCGGUCCGCCGUUUGGUGUGCACUGGCUGGUUUCAACUUCCUGUAGAGGACGCGCUCUGGCUUCACGGCUGGACGCGGAGUCUACGUGGUUACUUUGAAAAAAUUAGAGUGUUCAAAGCGGGCUUACGCUUGAAUAUUUCAGCAUGGAAUAACACUAUAGGACUCCUGUCCUAUUUCGUUGGUCUCGGGACGGGAGUAAUGAUUAAGAGGAACAGUUGGGGGCAUUCGUAUUUCAUUGUCAGAGGUGAAAUUCUUGGAUUUAUGAAAGACGAACUUCUGCGAAAGCAUUUGCCAAGGAUGUUUUCAUUAAUCAAGAACGAAAGUUGGGGGCUCGAAGAUGAUUAGAUACCAUCCUAGUCUCAACCAUAAACGAUGCCGACUAGGGAUUGCAGGAUGUUAAUUGAUGACUCCUGCAGCACCUUAUGAGAAAUCAAAGUUUUUGGGUUCCGGGGGGAGUAUGGUCGCAAGGCUGAAACUUAAAGGAAUUGACGGAAGGGCACCACCAGGCGUGGAGCCUGCGGCUUAAUUUGACUC